GAUGAACGCUGGCGGCGUGCCUAAUACAUGCAAGUCGAGCGAACAGACGAGGAGCUUGCUCCUCUGACAUUAGCGGCGGACGGGUGAGUAACACGUGGAUAACCUACCUUUAAGACUGGGAUAACUUCGGGAAACCAGAGCUAAUACCGGAUAAUAUAUUGAAACGCAUGGUUCAAUAUUGAAAGACGCUUUUGCUUUCCCUUAUAAAUGGAUCCCGUUCGAUUUGGCUGGUUGGUAAGGUAACGCCUUACAAAGGGGACGAUUCGAACCCAACCUGGAGGGGGGACGGGCCACAUGGGAACUGGAACACGGCCCAAACUCCUACGGGAGGCGGCAGUAGGGAAUCUUCCGCAAUGGGCGAAAGCUUGACGGGGCAACGCCGCGGGAGGGAGAAAGGUUUUGGGUCCGUAAACCUCUGUUAUAGAGGAAAAACAAAUGGGGAAGGGAAUAUGCACGUCGUGACGGUACCUAAUCAGAAAGCGACGGCUAACUACGUG
This 497-nucleotide ribosomal RNA is filed under the name uncultured bacterium. Its description in RNAcentral is "partial 16S ribosomal RNA". It matches the Rfam family "Bacterial small subunit ribosomal RNA", at positions 28 to 507 of the family's 1533-position model. The record is from RNAcentral.